UUACUACAUGAUUCCAUAUGUGUUAUUUCAUAGUGUUGAUGUGUUCACUAUUAUUUCUUCAUUGUAGAAAAUAGUAAAAAAUAAAGAAAAACCCUUGAAAGAGUAGGUGGAGACAGGUGGCUUGUAGUGAAGAACCAACGGUUGGUUGGUGGUAUGUUCUCCAUAAGGUUCAGGAGUGUAAAGAGAAGCAUCUGAAAUCCAAUACACAGGUACAGAAGCUAAUCAGACAGUGGUACACAGGUACACAGGUACAGAAGCUAAUCAGACAGUGGUACACAGGUACACAGGUACAGAAGCUAAUCAGACAGUGGUACACAGGUACAGAUGCUAAUCAGACAGUGGUACACAGGUACAGAAGCUAAUCAGACAGUGGUACACAGGUACAGAUGCUAAUCAGACAGUGGUACACAGGUACAGAUGCUAAUCAGACAGUGGUACACAGGUACAGAUGCUAAUCAGACAGUGGUACACAGGUACACAGGUACAGAAGCUAAUCAGACAGUGGUAAACAGGUACAGAAGCUAAUCAGACAGUGGUACACAGGUACACAGGUACAGAAGCUAAUCAGACAGUGGUAAACAGGUACAGAUGCUAAUCAGACAGUGGUAAACAGGUACACAGGUACAGAAGCUAAUCAGACAGUGGUACACAGGUACACAGGUACAGAAGCUAAUCAGACAGUGGUACACAGGUACACAGGUACAGAAGCUAAUCAGACAGUGGUAAACAGGUACAGAUGCUAAUCAGACAGUGGUAAACAGGUACACAGGUACAGAAGCUAAUCAGACAGUGGUACACAGGUACACAGGUACAGAAGCUAAUCAGACAGUGGUACACAGGUACAGAAGCUAAUCAGACAGUGGUACACAGGUACACAGGUACAGAAGCUAAUCAGACAGUGGUAAACAGGUACACAGGUACAGAAGCUAAUCAGACAGUGGUACACAGGUACACAGGUACAGAAGCUAAUCAGACAGUGGUACACAGGUACAGAUGCUAAUCAGACAGUGGUACACAGGUACAGAAGCUAAUCAGACAGUGGUAAACAGGUACAGAAGCUAAUCAGACAGUGGUACACAGGUACACAGGUACAGAUGCUAAUCAGACAGUGGUACACAGGUACACAGGUACAGAAGCUAAUCAGACAGUGGUAAACAGGUACAGAAGCUAAUCAGACAGUGGUAAACAGGUACACAGGUACAGAAGCUAAUCAGACAGUGGUACACAGGUACACAGGUACAGAAGCUAAUCAGACAGUGGUACACAGGUACACAGGUACAGAAGCUAAUCAGACAGUGGUAAACAGGUACAGAUGCUAAUCAGACAGUGGUAAACAGGUACACAGGUACAGAAGCUAAUCAGACAGUGGUACACAGGUACACAGGUACAGAAGCUAAUCAGACAGUGGUACACAGGUACAGAAGCUAAUCAGACAGUGGUACACAGGUACACAGGUACAGAAGCUAAUCAGACAGUGGUAAACAGGUACACAGGUACAGAUGCUAAUCAGACAGUGGUACACAGGUACACAGGUACAGAAGCUAAUCAGACAGUGGUAAACAGGUACACAGGUACAGAAGCUAAUCAGACAGUGGUACACAGGUACACAGGUACAGAAGCUAAUCAGACAGUGGUACACAGGUACAGAAGCUAAUCAGACAGUGGUAAACAGGUACACAGGUACAGAAGCUAAUCAGACAGUGGUACACAGGUACACAGGUACAGAAGCUAAUCAGACAGUGGUACACAGGUACAGAUGCUAAUCAGACAGUGGUACACAGGUACAGAAGCUAAUCAGACAGUGGUAAACAGGUACAGAAGCUAAUCAGACAGUGGUACACAGGUACACAGGUACAGAUGCUAAUCAGACAGUGGUACACAGGUACACAGGUACAGAAGCUAAUCAGACAGUGGUACACAGGUACACAGGUACAGAUGCUAAUCAGACAGUGGUACACAGGUACAGAAGCUAAUCAGACAGUGGUACACAGGUACAGAAGCUAAUCAGACAGUGGUACACAGGUACAGAUGCUAAUCAGACAGUGGUACACAGGUACAGAAGCUAAUCAGACAGUGGUAAACAGGUACAGAAGCUAAUCAGACAGUGGUACACAGGUACACAGGUACAGAUGCUAAUCAGACAGUGGUACACAGGUACACAGGUACAGAAGCUAAUCAGACAGUGGUACACAGGUACACAGGUACAGAUGCUAAUCAGACAGUGGUACACAGGUACACAGGUACAGAAGCUAAUCAGACAGUGGUACACAGGUACAGAUGCUAAUCAGACAGUGGUACACAGGUACAGAAGCUAAUCAGACAGUGGUAAACAGGUACAGAAGCUAAUCAGACAGUGGUACACAGGUACAGAUGCUAAUCAGACAGUGGUACACAGGUACACAGGCACAGAAGCUAAUCAGACAGUGGUACACAGGUACAGAAGCUAAUCAGACAGUGGUAAACAGGUACACAGGUACAGAAGCUAAUCAGACAGUGGUACACAGGUACAGAAGCUAAUCAGACAGUGGUACACAGGUACACAGGUACAGAAGCUAAUCAGACAGUGGUACACAGGUACACAGGUACAGAAGCUAAUCAGACAGUGGUACACAGGUACACAGGUACAGAAGCUAAUCAGACAGUGGUACACAGGUACACAGGUACAGAUGCUAAUCAGACAGUGGUACACAGGUACACAGGUACAGAAGCUAAUCAGACAGUGGUACACAGGUACACAGGUACAGAAGCUAAUCAGACAGUGGUACACAGGUACACAGGUACAGAAGCUAAUCAGACAGUGGUACACAGGUACACAGGUACAGAAGCUAAUCAGACAGUGGUACACAGGUACACAGGUACAGAAGCUAAUCAGGUACAGAAGCUAAUCCUUUUUGUUUCUUUUCAUUUGUUUAUGUGUGUGUGUGUGUGUGUGUGUGUGUGUGUGUGUGUGUGUGUGUGUGUGUGUGUGUGUGUGUGUGUGUGUGUGUGUGUGUGUGUGUGUGUGUGUGUGUGUGUGUGUGUGUGCGGGCAUGUGUGUGUCGUGACGUGUCGUGUUUGUUGGUUUGUCCAGCUAACAGCUGUCUCUAACCCCUUCUGCCCUCCUAUAGGUCCAAGCUCCCGGAGUUCAUCAAGAUGAUGAGUGACCACUUCCUUUGACAACAUUUUCUUAUUUCCUGAACCAAUCAAUCAACCGAUCACGUCAAUCAACGAUCGAUCGAUCUGACCAACGUCUUGCCCUGACAACCUGUCUUUUGUCUCCUGUAGAAAUAAAUGAACCCAAAUGUAUAUUGGCUAUGGAACAACAUAACAGAUACUACCGUACUACAGAUACUACAGUACUACAUAUACUACAAUACUACAGAUAUUACAAUACUACAGAAACUACAAUACUACAGAUACUACAAUACUACAGAAACUACAAUACUACAGAUACUACAGUACUACAGAUACUACAGUACUACAGAUACUACAGAUACUACAGAUACUACAAUACUAUAGAUACUACAGUACUACAGAUACUACAGUACUACAGAUAUUACAAUACUACAGUUCUACAGAUACUACAGUACUACAGAUAUUACAAUACUACAGAAACUACAAUACUACAGAAACUACAGUACUACAGAAACUACAAUACUACAAAUACUACAGUACUACAGAUACUACAAUACUAAAGAUAUUACAAUACUACAGAUAUUACAAUACUACAGUACUACAGAUACUACAGUACUACAGAAACCACAGUACUACAGAUACCACAGAUAUUACAAUACUACAGAAACUACAAUAUUACAGAUUCUACAGAUGCGAGAGUACUACAUAUAUUACAAUACUACAGAUUCUACAGUACUACAGAUUCUACAAUACUACAGUACUACAUAUUCUACAAUACUACAGUACUACAGAUACUACAGUACUACAGAUACUACAAUACUACAGUACUACAGAUACUACAGUACUACAGAUUCUACAAUACUACAGUACUACAGAUACUACAGUACUACAGAUUCUACAAUACUACAGAUACUACAGUACAAUACAUUUGUUCUUAUUUCUUUCUGUUAUUAUAUAUCUUAAAGAUUUUUUUUUUUAAUUAAAAAAAAUAUAUAUAAUAAUGGAUGCAACUACUCGGUGUUGGGGGAAUAUUUCAAACAUGAUAUGUUUAUAAUCAUAAUGUUUAACAAUGUUGCAGACUGAGCUGUUCGUGAACACAGCCCUGUCAACUGAAUGGCAAUCUUCUCCACACUGUGGAGACUCUUGCAGUUAGUGCCUGAAAUCCUCCUUGACAUUUAAAGUUAGCUAGAUAUAUAUGAAAACUCAAUCAGUCAGUCUAGACAGGAAGAGGGUAUGAAUAGAAUAUAGAAAAGUAGACAUUAUGUAGAAUUUCAAGAUAUUGUAAAAACACGCAAUAAUGACUACAACAAAAAAAAGUGUACUUCUAAUCUAGAACAGAUUCAUUUUGAGAUAACACUUUGUUUUGGGCUGUAUGCUAGAAUGGAUAGAGGCAACAAAAAAAAUGGCUGCCCCUUAUACUUAUAGCCACUCGAAACUAGCAAACGUCCAGAUUCAGAUUUGAAAUGUGUUUUCAUUGGCCAUUCUUUUGCGGGGGCGGAGCAGAUGAGCAAAUGGACCCUUUGUGAUUGGAGGGCAGGCCGUUGGUAGUGUUACUGUUCGUUAGCCCAUGUUACUAGGCAGAUGAAGGAAGGACGGAGAGAAAAGAAAGGGUGGAGAGAUUGUCUCCUUGCCGUGUCUGUCACACAGACAGAUCCAGAACAAAGACUCUCGCCCCGUGAUGACGUCACUUCCUGGUUGGUGAUGUCACGUCCUGGUUGGCGAUGACGCUGCGUCGGAAAGGCACAGCCAGAGGGGGAUGUACAUCCCAGAGACCGAGCAGUCCGUCAUCUUGUAUGAUUUGUCUGAUUUAUAAACCCCGGUCUAGCACUUCACACCCCCCUCUGUCACCCUCCCCAGUUCUCCCUUCCUGCCCCGAUUACCCCCUAACCAAGCCCCAACCCCCAAGACCCUGCAAGGCUCCAGAGAUGCAAUUUUAACAUUCACUUCUACCAAUGUGCCUUUCAGAGUUCAUAUCAUUCAAAUGCGAUGAGGAGGAGACGGACGUUAUCUGAACUUUUUAGGAUUCAAGCUUAGGGAACUGUUAGUUAUUAGGUCUAUGCAGUCAGGUUUUUUCCAACCUGGGAAUUAAAAAAAAGAAAAAGAAAAACAGUCAAAAGAGAAAAAAAAGUAUUUUUGGGAUAAACUGUAUUUAAUUGUACUGUAUGCUUAUAUGUAAUUAGAUGACGUGUCCCUGAACAGACCUUGUUUUAGUCAGUUGAGCCCCCUGGCGGCCCCAGCACCCCGAGUUUCAGACCCCUUCCUGUAUUAAUUCCAAGUUUCAGCCUGUUUCCAUAGUGACCUACACGUCUGUUAUUGAGCGUUGUAUUAUAGCUAUCAGCUUUUUAUCAAUAUCGGCUUGUCCGUGAGCCCCUGUAGUCUUCAGUACCAGUGUGUGGUUGUGUGUGUAAAACAGAACUUCUUCUCUUUUUGAAAUCUUUCUCUUAUUCUUUGUCUGUUCUGGUUUCUCCGUUGAUGAAAAAAGUACUAAACCACAACUUGCUGCCCUAUGGAGAUUCGUCAGCAGCUGUUUUUAAAUGUGGUUUACAUUAUCCAAUCAACGCAAAGGCACUGAAACUGGAAAAUAAUCUAUUUGAAAAAUCAAUAUAUAUAAAUGUAAAAAUAUAUACAAUAUAUAAAUAAGGAAGGUGCCAGUUUUCAAAGGAGAGGUUGUUUUGGUGGUGAUUCAUUAUUUUCUCAGAGAUGGGGAGAAGGUUUGAAGAGGCAUCUCAGUGUUACUUUAAAGAGACAAGACGCGAUCUUCUUCUCUGCCGUGCCGUGCCGUGACAUCACAAUGACUGACUAUGGUGUCCCUGACUGGACAAAAGGGACCGGUCUUCUCUGGCGGGGCCGUGACAUCACAAUGACUGACUAUGGUGUCCCUGACUGGACAAAAGGGACCGGUUUUCUCUGCCGUGCCGUGACAUCACAAUGACUGACUAUGGUGUCCCUGAUGGGACAAAAGGGACCGGUUUUCUCUGGCGGGGCCGUGACAUCACAAUGACUGACUAUGGUGUCCCUGACUGGACAAAAGGGACCGGUCUUCUCUGGCGGGGCCGUGACAUCACAAUGACUGACUAUGGUGUCCCUGACUGGACAAAAGGGACCGGUUUUCUCUGCCGUGCCGUGACAUCACAAUGACUGACUAUGGUGUCCCUGACUGGACAAAAGGGACCGGUCUUCUCUGGCGGGGCCGUGACAUCACAAUGACUGACUAUGGUGUCCCUGACUGGACAAAAGGGACCGGUUUUCUCUGCCGUGCCGUGACAUCACAAUGACUGACUAUGGUGUCCCUGAUGGGACAAAAGGGACCGGUUUUCUCUGGCGGGGCCGUGACAUCACAAUGACUGACUAUGGUGUCCCUGACUGGACAAAAGGGACCGGUUUUCUCUGGCGGGGCCGUGACAUCACAAUGACUGACUAUGGUGUCCCUGACUGGACAAAAGGGACCGGAGUUACAACAUGCUCCACUCACUGCUAAUUCAGCUGUCAAAGGAAACGCAGAAAUUUGUCAAUUGUAUGCAACAAAUGCAAACUGACGAUUAUUUUGAAAUUGUGUAUGUAAAAGUUAUAUUUUUACAUGUAGGCUGUUGUUAUUUUGUGUUUAGAUAAUACGUUGUGUUAGUUUUUUGUUAAAAGAUGAAAAAGUAAAAUUCGGUGUUGAAAACAUGUCACAUUGAAAAUGUAGUCAAAAGUUUCAAUAUCAUAUUUUUUUGUUUUUUUCAGCAUUUUGUUUGUUUAUAUCAAGAAGGUAUAUAAUAUUAUUUUCAUGCUCCAUGCUCAUUACCAUUUUUUCAUUGUAUUUUUCAUUGCCAUUUUUUCAUUGUAUUUUUCAUUGUAUUUUUGAAGACAUAAUGUAUAAAUAAAUCAUAAUACACAGGGUUCAUGACCUUUUGGUUGGGGUGCUGGUGGUGAAUAGCUGAAAGUGGGAGAGAAUUGAGUUGAUUUGAUCAGUUGUAUUCUGCUUGUAAUUGUCUGGUUAUUCUAGCCAGGUGCCAAUAUUAAUUAAAAAUCAACUGGCACGUAA
Long non-coding RNA from Oncorhynchus keta (chum salmon), 7138 nucleotides. RefSeq lists it as uncharacterized. Lineage: Eukaryota; Metazoa; Chordata; Actinopteri; Salmoniformes; Salmonidae. The record is from RefSeq and is a predicted model, not a curated record. The transcript is spliced from 7 exons.